This is a long non-coding RNA of Harpia harpyja (harpy eagle), 1949 nucleotides long. RefSeq lists it as uncharacterized. The record is from RefSeq and is a predicted model, not a curated record. The transcript is spliced from 2 exons. Lineage: Eukaryota; Metazoa; Chordata; Aves; Accipitriformes; Accipitridae.
GGCUGGGAGGGCGAGGAGGACGAGGAGAGCAGCAGCAGCGCGGCCGGGUCCUCCUCCUCCUCCUCGUCCUCCCCCGCCAGCAGCUCCUCCUCCUCCUCCUCCAGCUCCAGCCCCUUAGCCUCUUCAAGUGGCGGGUGAAAAUUUUCAGGCAAAACACAAAGAAACUUGUUUGAAAACGUGAUCGCCGAGAGUCAGGAAUGGGAAAGGACGCCUUGACUCUGAGGUGAAAUGGUGAGCCGGGAGUGAAGACCGCUGGCUCCUGGUUUGUGGGCCCGGGCAGACAGCCCGGGGAGGAAGACAAAGCAGAGGGUGACACGGUCCUCCACAAAAACAGGCUGGAAAAUGGUCUUCAACAGCGGCCUUCAGGCUUGGCGUGAGGGCAGCAGGGUUGUUCUUGACGUAGUCAAGGAAAGCCAGGUGCAAAUGGUUGAAAUACGAACGUCGGAGCAAGAAUUGGGGUGGGGUAGCUGCUCCCUGAAGAUGUUAUGCUGAGAAAAGUUUCUGGGGAAAAAUCCAACUCUACGUUACAGAUGCCAGCGUCGUUCCCAGUGCUGGGAAAGGGAGACACCAGGGUAGGAGCGUGGGCUGGCAGAGGUGAAAAGUUCUGUAUUCACCACGUAGCUGUGAGCCUGCAGACAACCGUGAGAUGCGAGAGGGACAGCAGGUCUUUAGCUGGGGUAGAAAGGCGGAGGUCUGCAGUGGAAGAAUCGCUCUGCGCACCGUCGGCCAGGGAAGGGGAGGUUUCCAAGAGAGGAGCAUGAUUUGCUGUGCCACAGGUGGCUGAUGGGUCCAGGAGAAGGAGGAUGGGUCUGGCAAGCGUGGCAAAGCCCGUAGGGUGCCGGGGGGGAAGGCUUUUGAAAAGAAACGAGGUCUGAACCAGAGGAAAAGCUCUCCAGACGGCAGCGGUUGGACUCAGCACGUGUUGUUCUCGGCAGCCAGAUGUCCACGUCAUUGCAAUCACCGGGGGUGUUAAUUGGCACCCGGGCGGAUGCUGCUCGCAGCGAGACCGAAGUCCAAAUUGCCUUGCUGCGACCGCUCCAUCCGUGGAAGCCGACACUUGUCCUCAGAGGUCCUCCUUCCAGGUCAGAGCUGAGCAGAGCUCCUGGACCUUUGUGGAGAUGAUCUCUAGGUCACCGUGCUGGGGGCACAGCACCCACACUGGGCUCCAGACGAGCGGGGGCCUUCGUUUCCUCUUUUCAACUAGCAAAUAGAUAAAUGAACACAAUAGCCCCUCUAUCUACUUGUGGAAAAUACUCGUAAAACCGAUAAUUAGAUAAUUGUCUGCUGGAGCCCAUAGUCAUGACAAAAAGUGUUCUCGGAAAUAUUUUUUGAGCAAUGAGGGCCGAAAACAUCAUUCCUACCUCGGGUCAGAGGUAACAGCCAAAAACCUUGGAUGCAGUGAGAGAGGCUGUUAACUCCCCCUGCUCACAUUUGCUCCAUUAGCCUACACAAAUACUCAGUAAAGACUUUCCCGACACCACACCACUGUUAGGCUUCAGGUUGUAUUUCAAAAACGUCACUAAUAACCAAAGCUCUUGAUUAUUUUGAAAACUUCCAGCAACCUUUUCCCUUUGUAUAUCUUUGUUUCCAAGUGUAAAUUACUGGAAUUAGAAAUGCAACUUUGUGAAACCGCCUAUAAUGGACUGAUGUAAUUGGCUUGAAACAAUCCGUAGGUUAAAAUUGUUAACGAUGGUAAGAAGGGGUUCUUGUGCUACGAGGGAGGUGAAAGUAGGGUUGAGGAAGAGAGAGCAUAGAGAGAUUGCUGCAGGGAUGAAUCCUCCCCAGGCUGUUGAUAAGGCUCACGCAGGCUUUUGUGUUCUUGCUGCUUUUUUUCCCUUUCUUGAUAAAAUCAGAUGUAGAGAAAGGCUCAGCUGGACCUUCAUACUGUGUGGAACGUGUCGUGCAAUGCCACCACUUACGCUUUUCUUAAUAAAUCCCGCUCAGAUUCA